RNAcentral lists this ribosomal RNA (496 nucleotides) under uncultured bacterium. Its description in RNAcentral is "partial 16S ribosomal RNA". It matches the Rfam family "Bacterial small subunit ribosomal RNA", at positions 28 to 506 of the family's 1533-position model. The record is from RNAcentral.
GACGAACGCUGGCGGCGUGCCUAAUACAUGCAAGUUGAGCGCUGAAGGUUGGUACUUGUACCAACUGGAUGAGCAGCGAACGGGUGAGUAACGCGUGGGGAAUCUGCCUUUGAGCGGGGGACAACAUUUGGAAACGAAUGCUAAUACCGCAUAAAAACUUUAAACACAAGUUUUAAGUUUGAAAGAUGCAAUUGCAUCACUCAAAGAUGAUCCCGCGUUGUAUUAGCUAGUUGGUGAGGUAAAGGCUCACCAAGGCGAUGAUACAUAGCCGACCUGAGAGGGUGAUCGGCCACAUUGGGACUGAGACACGGCCCAAACUCCUACGGGAGGCAGCAGUAGGGAACCUUCGGCAAUGGACGAAAGUCUGACCGAGCAACGCCGCGUGAGUGAAGAAGGUUUUCGGAUCGUAAAACUCUGUUGGUAGAGAAGAACGUUGGUGAGAGUGGAAAGCUCAUCAAGUGACGGUAACUACCCAGAAAGGGACGGCUAACUACGU